Molecule: transfer RNA, 77 nt
Filed under: Corynebacterium maris DSM 45190
Lineage: Bacteria; Bacillati; Actinomycetota; Actinomycetes; Mycobacteriales; Corynebacteriaceae
Description: tRNA-Met
Rfam family: tRNA
About the family: Transfer RNA (tRNA) molecules are approximately 80 nucleotides in length. Their secondary structure includes four short double-helical elements and three loops (D, anti-codon, and T loops).
Source: RNAcentral
GGCGGUGUAGCUCAGCUGGUGAGAGCGCGCGACUCAUAAUCGCGAGGUCGAGAGUUCAAGUCUCUCCACCGCUACCG